This 394-nucleotide ribosomal RNA is filed under the name uncultured bacterium. Its description in RNAcentral is "partial 16S ribosomal RNA". It matches the Rfam family "Bacterial small subunit ribosomal RNA", at positions 338 to 729 of the family's 1533-position model. The record is from RNAcentral.
CCUACGGGAGACAGCAGUGAGGAAUAUUGGUCAAUGGGCGCGAGCCUGAACCAACCAAGUAGCGUGAAGGAUGACUGCCCUAUGGGUUGUAAACUUCUUUUAUCAAGGAAUAAAGUGAGCCACGUGUGCCUUUUUGUAUGUACCUUAUGAAUAAGGAUCGGCUAACUCCGUGCCAGCAGCCGCGGUAAUACGGAGGAUCCGAGCGUUAUCCGGAUUUAUUGGGUUUAAAGGGAGCGUAGGUGGGUUGUUAAGUCAGUUGUGAAAGUUUGCGGCUCAACCGUGAAAGUGCAAUUGAUACUGGCAGUCUUGAGUACGGUAGAAGUAUGCGGAAUGCGUGGUGUAGCGGUGAAAUGCAUAGAUAUCACGAAGAACUCCGAUUGCGAAGGCAGCAUAC